CUCCUUAACUCUUUACCCAAAGAAAGAUAAGACACAAUAACGCACACAAAAACCAUUCACCAGUCAGUCAGUCACACCCACGACUCGAGGCCACGAUCUAUGAGGUUCAUCUCUAUCUCCCCAGAAAUUUCUCCAGAACGCUAAACUACACUUUUCAUUCCCAAUUCGAACCCUCAAUAAAAAAUUUAGGGUUCCCUUUAAUCCAAAAUAGCCGAGUUCCCUUCAAUCCAGAAUUUGUCGAUUUCAUUUGCAAUUUUGCGGUUCUUCUUCUUAUUGGGGAUGCAGUCUAAGAGGAUUUUGAUGGAGCUCAAGGAGAAAGAUCCUCCUACUUCUCGAACUGAUGUCACAUUCAAACCUUAAUUACAAGCUGAUCUGAUUAAUCCUCUGGAGAGAAUAAUUCUGAUAGAUGAUGUUGUUCCAAUUCUAUAUUCUGGCAGUGAGUGGGAUAAGGAAGUUAAACAGCUAGGUGAGACACUCUUGGGCUAUUCUCUCAAGGAUUGUGAGUAGAGGCUAAUCAGUUGAAAGAGAUGUCAUGUUCAGGAGGCAGAGUUAUGGCUGGCCACUAUUAUCCAUGUUGUCCCGAGCCCAAGAAGACAGUUGGGAACUAGCUAGGGAUCGCGUCCCAUAUCGAUCCUGGCAUUCUCACACUGUUACUGCAGGAUCAAGUUGGUGUGUUGCAAGUUAAACAUGAGGGGAAAUGGGUUAUUGUCAAGCCAAUCCAAGGUGCACUUGUUAUCAAUGUUGGCGACUUACUUCAGCUCCUCUCGAAUGAUAAGUACACGAGUGUAGAACACCGAGCAUAUGCUAAUCCGCGAUCCUUGGCAUGAACCACGGGUCUCAGUUGUUGUGUUCUUCAACCCUGGCAUGAUGGAGAACUUGUAUGGAACGAUACCAGAGAUAGUAUCACCUGAAGAGCCUGCACAACCUUCAAAUUAUUCUAAUGAGCUGUUAGAGCAUGAGCUCUUUCUUGCUUCCUCGGUGCAAGAUUUCAACGAAGGUAUUCAUUUACAAAUGAUUCUAGCUUGUUAAACUUGAUUUCCCCAUAACAAUGAAGAAUAGAGUGCCUUGAUCUUGAAAGAUCGAGGGUUAUGUGCAGUAUAUGUGUAUAGUAUCUGUCACGUAUGAGACACAUAUCUUUUUCCCUCCCCAAUAGGUGUAUAGUAUCGAUCUUGUAUCUAGUCACUGCUCAGGUUAAGACUAAGACUUUAAACAUCAGGAUCAUAUUUAUAAGAUGAGGCCAGAGUAACAGAAAUUAUUCAAAUAAAAAACAAUUAUAAACAGAGUGAAAAGUACAUUUUCAGAAGGCAUAAGGAAAGGAGAGAGAGAACAAGAGUAGGCUGUAGAGAGUAGGGAGUAAUAGGGUGUGCAGAACCCUACAUAUAGUACAAUAGGAAUUAUCAGGAGAAUGUAGUUAAAAAAUUGAAACAGAAUUACUGAUUUCUGACUAGCUAGUGAUGAUGUGACGUUGACGGGGUCUGAUAGUGUAUGGAUCAAAUGUAUUACUGCAGUCUGUAGUCUGUAAUCUGUUUAUACAAUACGUGUUCUUGUAGCUUUUUCUCUUAUGUGAAUAAAAUUUGAUUGGUUGCCUUAUUUUAGUCUUCGUUCUUGUUAUGCAGAAUGAAUUAAAUGGUUAAUGCACUAAACAUCGAGUUGUGAGGAUGAAAAUUGUUGUUCAAAAGCUGGAGUUGAAACAGGUGCAAGUGGGUAUUAAUUCCUGUCCGGCACCUGUUUCAUCAGUAAUCGACAUUGGUUAAGUUUACAAAUUUGGGUACUUCCUGAAAGUUCAAUAUUCACUCAUUUUCUGAAAAACAGUGCAUUGAAUCCCUGGUCCAAUGUGUUUAUGUGGGUUAUGUAUGAUCUCAAGUGUUCCUAAAGAAUCUUAACCAGAAAACUCGCUAAUGAUCCUCUUUAGUUUCUAUGGUACAGGCUUCUAUUAGAAUACGGUUGAAUGAAAUAUCACUUGCUGAUUUUUUUAUACAUGUUACAUGUCUUUGCGAGGUUACAUACAGCUUUUGUAGCACCUAGCUCUCGUGUCUUUGGAAGAGGUGAACUUGUAUUAGAUAGGAAGGAGAUUGCUAUGAGGUAUAUCAGAUCAGGUUUCUUCAUUGAUCUCAUUGCAGCUUUACCUUUUUCUCAUAUACAACUAAUUCUUAGAUUUUUAUUACCAAACAUUAACAUUUUAAUGUCUACUACUUGUUAUGGAAAGAAAAUUGUUAUGUUUUUUCGCUGCAGAUUGUGAUAUUGUUUAUAAUUCCAGCAAUUAAGCUGUCUAAAUCAAGAAUUGAAGCACCUAUAAUGCACUCCAAUUGAUUGUUUUCUUCCAAUAUAUUCCACGGUCUUAUCAGAUAUUCCCUUUGAGUGUUGAGAUUAUAAAGUCGGCUGGUGUUGUCACGAAAACAGCCUGGGCAGGAGCUGCUUAUAAUCUCAUGUUCUACCAAGUGGAUACAGAUACAAUGUCCUCGGCUAAAGAAUGUCAUGGAUUCUUGAUAUUAUGUCACGAGAUACAUGAAAGAGAUCAUCGACCAUAAGCAAACUCGAAUAUUUGAAGAUGUAUGUAUUUUUCUUUAUUCAAUUAAGCCUAGACAUUAGUAUAUGCAUUGUCACUAAUUAUGUUAAUU
This is a long non-coding RNA of Spinacia oleracea (spinach), 2618 nucleotides long. RefSeq lists it as uncharacterized. The transcript is spliced from 5 exons. Lineage: Eukaryota; Viridiplantae; Streptophyta; Magnoliopsida; Caryophyllales; Amaranthaceae. The record is from RefSeq and is a predicted model, not a curated record.